Molecule: non-coding RNA, 131 nt
Organism: Daldinia eschscholtzii
Lineage: Eukaryota; Fungi; Ascomycota; Sordariomycetes; Xylariales; Hypoxylaceae
Source: the annotation of a GenBank genome assembly
GCCCGGUUAGCUCAAUCGGUAGAGCGUGAGACUCUUAAUCUCAAGGUUGCGGGUAAGUUCUUGAUGUAAUUCACACAUCUCAUAACACACCAGCUAACAUCAUCUCCAAGGUUCGACCCCCGCAUCGGGCU